GUUGGUGUAGCUCAGUGGUAGAGUGCAUGUAUUUGUGUGUAUGAUGUCCUGGGUUCAAUCUCCAGCUUCUCCC
RNAcentral lists this transfer RNA (73 nucleotides) under Dallia pectoralis (Alaska blackfish). RNAcentral describes it as "tRNA-OTHER". The record is from RNAcentral. Lineage: Eukaryota; Metazoa; Chordata; Actinopteri; Esociformes; Umbridae.